RNAcentral lists this transfer RNA (57 nucleotides) under Trioceros cristatus. RNAcentral's name for it is "tRNA-Ser". The record is from RNAcentral. Lineage: Eukaryota; Metazoa; Chordata; Lepidosauria; Squamata; Chamaeleonidae.
AAAGGAAUACAAGAACUGCUAACUCCAACUACUGAUACUAACCCUUCAGGCCUUUCC